CGCGUAGGUGGUAGUGAAAGUCUAUGGUGGAAUCUUAGGGCUUAACCCUAAAACUGCCUUGGAAACUUCAUUACUUGAGUCAGUGAGGGGAGGGUAGAAUUCCUGGUGUAGCGGUGAAAUGCGUAGAUAUCAGGAGGAAGGCCGGUGGCGAAGGCGGCCCUCUGGCGCUGAACUGACGCUGAGGCGCGAAAGCGUGGGUAGCAAACAGGAUUAGAUACCCUGGUAGUCCUAGCCUUAAACGAUGAAUGCUUGGUGUGAUCGGUAUCCAAUCCGAUUGUGCCGUAGUUAACGCGAUAAGCAUUCCGCCUGGGGAGUACGGUCGCAAGGCUGAA
Molecule: ribosomal RNA, 332 nt
Filed under: uncultured bacterium
Lineage: Bacteria
Description: bacterial SSU rRNA
Rfam family: Bacterial small subunit ribosomal RNA
Source: RNAcentral